This 495-nucleotide ribosomal RNA is filed under the name uncultured bacterium. Its description in RNAcentral is "partial 16S ribosomal RNA". It matches the Rfam family "Bacterial small subunit ribosomal RNA", at positions 28 to 507 of the family's 1533-position model. The record is from RNAcentral.
GACGAACGCUGGCGGCGUGCCUAAUACAUGCAAGUAGAACGCUGAAGGAGGAGCUUGCUUCUCUGGAUGAGUUGCGAACGGGUGAGUAACGCGUAGGUAACCUGCCUGGUAGCGGGGGAUAACUAUUGGAAACGAUAGCUAAUACCGCAUAAUAGUAGAUGUUGCAUGACAUUUGCUUAAAAGGUGCAAUUGCAUCACUACCAGAUGGACCUGCGUUGUAUUAGCUAGUUGGUGGGGUAACGGCCCACCAAGGCGACGAUACAUAGCCGACCUGAGAGGGUGAUCGGCCACACUGGGACUGAGACACGGCCCAGACUCCUACGGGAGGCAGCAGUAGGGAAUCUUCGGCAAUGGACGGAAGUCUGACCGAGCAACGCCGCGUGAGUGAAGAAGGUUUUCGGAUCGUAAAGCUCUGUUGUAAGAGAAGAACGAGUGUGAGAGUGGAAAGUUCACACUGUGACGGUAUCUUACCAGAAAGGGACGGCUAACUACGUG